RNAcentral lists this ribosomal RNA (803 nucleotides) under marine metagenome. Its description in RNAcentral is "bacterial SSU rRNA". It matches the Rfam family "Bacterial small subunit ribosomal RNA", at positions 317 to 1130 of the family's 1533-position model. The record is from RNAcentral.
AACUGAGACACUGUCCGGACUCCUACGGGAGGCUGCAGUAACGAAUCUUCCGCAAUGAGCGAAAGCUUGACGGAGCAAUGCCGCGUGUAGGAUGAAUCUCUUCGGAGUGUAAACUACUGUCAGAGACUAGGAACACAAUGACCAAUCUCAAAGGAAGGGCCGGCUAACUUCGUGCCAGCAGCCGCGGUAAUACGAAGGGCCCGAGCGUUAUUCGGAAUCACUGGGCUUAAAGCGUGCGUAGGCGGACUUGUAGGCGUUUUGUGAAAUCCCUCGGCUCAACCGAGGAACUGCAGAGCGAACCCCAAGUCUUGAGACAGACAGAGGUCGUCGGAACGAUUGGUGGAGUGGUGAAAUGCGUUGAUAUCAAUCGGAACGCCGAAGGAGAAGUCAGGCGACUGGGUCUGUUCUGACGCUGAGGUACGAAAGCGUGGGUAGCGAACGGGAUUAGAUACCCCGGUAGUCCACGCCGUAAACGAUGUGCACUAGGUCGGGGAAGCUCUGACGCUAUUCCCGGCCGAAGCAAAAGUGUUAAGUGCACCGCCUGGGGAGUACGGUCGCAAGGCUAAAACUCAAAGGAAUUGACGGGGGCUCACACAAGCGGUGGAGCAUGUGGCUUAAUUCGAAGCAACGCGAAGAACCUUAUCCUAGGUUUGACAUACACGGAUUAGCUAUAAGAAACUAUAGUGACACCUUCGGGUGGAACGUGAACAGGUGCUGCAUGGCUGUCGUCAGCUCGUGCUGUGAAGUGUCGGGUUAAGUCCCUUACGAGCGCAACCCUUAUCGUUAGUUGCUAACCUGUCUCU